Molecule: non-coding RNA, 102 nt
Organism: Acanthosepion pharaonis
Lineage: Eukaryota; Metazoa; Mollusca; Cephalopoda; Sepiida; Sepiidae
Source: the annotation of a GenBank genome assembly
UACAGCCAUAUCACGUUAAAACAUCGAUUCUCGUGCGAUCACCGAAGUUAAGCAACGUCGAACCCGAGCAGUACGUAGAUGGGUGACCGCUUGAGAAUACUC